CCUACGGGUGGCAGCAGUGAGGAAUAUUGGUCAAUGGGCGAGAGCCUGAACCAGCCAAGUCGCGUGAGGGAGUACUGCCCUAUGGGUUGUAAACCUCUUUUGUCGGGGAGCAAAAGCCGGACGUGUCCGGCUGUGAGAGUACCCGAAGAAAAAGCAUCGGCUAACUCCGUGCCAGCAGCCGCGGUAAUACGGAGGAUGCGAGCGUUAUCCGGAUUUAUUGGGUUUAAAGGGUGCGCAGGCGGAGUUUUAAGUCAGCGGUAAAAUCGUGGGGCUCAACCCCAUCCAGCCGUUGAAACUGGGGAUCUAGAGUGGGCGAGAGGUAUGCGGAAUUCGUGGUGUAGCGGUGAAAUGCAUAGAUAUCACGCAGAACCCCGAUUGCGAAGGCAGCAUACCGGUGCACAACUGACGCUCAGGCACGAAAGCGUGGGUAUCGAACAGGAUUAGAUACCCGAGUAGUC
RNAcentral lists this ribosomal RNA (458 nucleotides) under uncultured bacterium. Its description in RNAcentral is "partial 16S ribosomal RNA". It matches the Rfam family "Bacterial small subunit ribosomal RNA", at positions 338 to 795 of the family's 1533-position model. The record is from RNAcentral.